CGGGCUGGAUCUCUCGGGGUUACAGCCUUGCUGAAUUAUUCACCCUUGUCUUUUGCGUACUUCUUGUUUCCUUGGUGGGUUCGCCCACCACUAGGACAAACAUAAACCUUUUGUAAUUGCAAUCAGCGUCAGUAACAAAUUAAUAAUUACAACUUUCAACAACGGAUCUCUUGGUUCUGGCAUCGAUGAAGAACGCAGCGAAAUGCGAUAAGUAGUGUGAAUUGCAGAAUUCAGUGAAUCAUCGAAUCUUUGAACGCACAUUGCGCCCUUUGGUAUUCCAAAGGGCAUGCCUGUUCGAGCGUCAUUUGUACCCUCAAGCUUUGCUUGGUGUUGGGCGUCUUGUCUCUAGCUUUGCUGGAGACUCGCCUUAAAGUAAUUGGCAGCCGGCCUACUGGUUUCGGAGCGCAGCACAAGUCGCACUCUCUAUCAGCAAAGGUCUAGCAUCCAUUAAGCCUUUUUUCAACUUUUGACCUCGGAUCAGGUAGGGAUACCCGCUGAACUUAAGCAUAUCAAAAGCCGGAGGAA
RNAcentral lists this ribosomal RNA (525 nucleotides) under Alternaria alternata. RNAcentral's name for it is "eukaryotic LSU rRNA". The stretch from base 151 to 304 matches the Rfam family "5.8S ribosomal RNA". Lineage: Eukaryota; Fungi; Ascomycota; Dothideomycetes; Pleosporales; Pleosporaceae. The record is from RNAcentral.